CCUACGGGGGGCAGCAGUGGGGAAUAUUGGACAAUGGGGGGAACCCUGAUCCAGCCAUGCCGCGUGUGUGAAGAAGGCCCUCGGGUUGUAAAGCACUUUCAGUGAGGAAGAACGCCUGGUGGUUAAUACCCAUCAGGAAAGACAUCACUCACAGAAGAAGCACCGGCUAACUCCGUGCCAGCAGCCGCGGUAAUACGGAGGGUGCGAGCGUUAAUCGGAAUUACUGGGCGUAAAGCGCGCGUAGGUGGCUUGAUAAGCCGGUUGUGAGAGCCCCGGGCUCAACCUGGGAACGGCAUCCGGAACUGUCAAGCUAGAGUGCAGGAGAGGAAGGUAGAAUUCCCGGUGUAGCGGUGAAAUGCGUAGAGAUCGGGAGGAAUACCAGUGGCGAAGGCGGCCUUCUGGACUGACACUGACACUGAGGUGCGAAAGCGUGGGUAGCAAACAGGAUUAGAUACCCUAGUAGUC
This 465-nucleotide ribosomal RNA is filed under the name Vreelandella stevensii. RNAcentral describes it as "partial 16S ribosomal RNA". It matches the Rfam family "Bacterial small subunit ribosomal RNA", at positions 338 to 795 of the family's 1533-position model. Lineage: Bacteria; Pseudomonadati; Pseudomonadota; Gammaproteobacteria; Oceanospirillales; Halomonadaceae. The record is from RNAcentral.